Molecule: unclassified non-coding RNA, 253 nt
Filed under: uncultured Parcubacteria group bacterium
Lineage: Bacteria
Description: contains 16S-23S intergenic spacer region
Rfam family: Bacterial small subunit ribosomal RNA
Source: RNAcentral
UACAGAGACCCCGAGCGUUAUCCGGAAUUAUUGGGCGUAAAGGGUGUGUAGGCGGCUUUGUUAGUCUUACGUUAAAGCUCCGGGCUUAACCCGGAAUUCGCGUAGGAAACGGCAUCGCUAGAGGACAGGAGAGGUGUACGGAACUCAUGGUGUAGGGGUGAAAUCCGUUGAUAUCAUGGGGAACACCGAAUGCGAAGGCAGUACACUGGCCUGUUCCUGACGCUGAGACACGAAAGCCAGGGUAGCGAAAGGG